GGGGAAAGGUAGCUUGCUACUGGACCUAGCGGCGGACGGGUGAGUAAUGCUUAGGAAUCUGCCUAUUAGCUGGGGGACAACGUUCCGAAAGGAACGCUAAUACCGCAUACGUCCUACGGGAGAAAGCAGGGGAUCUUCGGACCUUGCGCUAAUAGAUGAGCCUAAGUCGGAUUAGCUAGUUGGUGGGGUAAAGGCCUACCAAGGCGACGAUCUGUAGCGGGUCUGAGAGGAUGAUCCGCCACACUGGGACUGAGACACGGCCCAGACUCCUACGGGAGGCAGCAGUGGGGAAUAUUGGACAAUGGGCGGAAGCCUGAUCCAGCCGUGCCGCGUGUGUGAAGAAGGCCUUUUGGUUGUAAAGCACUUUAAGCGAGGAGGAGGCUCCUUUAGUUAAUACCUAAAGAGAGUGGACGUUACUCGCAGAAUAAGCACCGGCUAACUCUGUGCCAGCAGCCGCGGUAAUACAGAGGGUGCGAGCGUUAAUCGGAUUUACGGGGCGUAAAGCGUGCGUAGGCGGCUUUUUAAGUCGGAUGUGAAAUCCCUGAGCUUAACUUACGAAUUGCAUUCGAUACUGGAAAGCUAGAGUAUGGGAGAGGAUGGUAGAAUUCCAGGUGUAGCGAUGAAAUGCGUAGAGAUCUGGAGGAAUACCGAUGGCGAACGCUGCCAUCUGGUCUAAUACUGACGCUUAGGUACGAAAGCAUGGGGAGCAAACAGGAUUAGAUACCCUGGUAGUCCAUGCCGUCAACGAUGUCUACUAGCCGUUGGCGCCUUUGAGGCUUUAGUGGCGCAACUGACGCGAUCAGUAGACCGUCUGGGGAGUACGGUCGCAAGACUAAGACUCAUAUGAAUUGACGGCGAA
RNAcentral lists this ribosomal RNA (859 nucleotides) under uncultured Gammaproteobacteria bacterium. RNAcentral describes it as "bacterial SSU rRNA". It matches the Rfam family "Bacterial small subunit ribosomal RNA", at positions 68 to 920 of the family's 1533-position model. The record is from RNAcentral. Lineage: Bacteria; Pseudomonadati; Pseudomonadota; Gammaproteobacteria.